AACGAACGCUGGCGGCAGGCCUAACACAUGCAAGUCGAGCGCGCCCUUCGGGGUGAGCGGCGGACGGGUGAGUAACGCGUGGGAACGUGCCCUUUUCUACGGAAUAGCCUCGGGGAACUGAGAGUAAUACCGUAUACGCCCUUUGGGGGAAAGAUUUAUCGGAAAAGGAUCGGCCCGCGUUGGAUUAGGUAGUUGGUGGGGUAAUGGCCUACCAAGCCGACGAUCCAUAGCUGGUUUGAGAGGAUGAUCAGCCACACUGGGACUGAGACACGGCCCAGACUCCUACGGGAGGCAGCAGUGGGGAAUCUUAGACAAUGGGGGCAACCCUGAUCUAGCCAUGCCGCGUGAGUGAUGAAGGCCUUAGGGUUGUAAAGCUCUUUCAGCUGGGAAGAUAAUGACGGUACCAGCAGAAGAAGCCCCGGCUAACUCCGUG
RNAcentral lists this ribosomal RNA (433 nucleotides) under uncultured bacterium. Its description in RNAcentral is "partial 16S ribosomal RNA". It matches the Rfam family "Bacterial small subunit ribosomal RNA", at positions 29 to 507 of the family's 1533-position model. The record is from RNAcentral.